Bos taurus (domestic cattle) is the source of this 1662-nucleotide long non-coding RNA. The record is from Ensembl. Lineage: Eukaryota; Metazoa; Chordata; Mammalia; Artiodactyla; Bovidae.
AAACAGAUGAUGAACGAGGUGCUAAAGCUGCGAUCCCUGGAGACUAGCCCCCAGGAAACCACUGUGGGUGUGUGCAGUACCAGAGGGUCAGGAGUAAGUAAGUGUUCCGCGUAGAAACAUCCCAGCCAUGCAUCAAGGGAGACAGAAUCUUCCAGAACUCAAACCUCAAGAGCACUGAGGACCUCAGCGGUAACAACAAACCUCCUCCUUCUCAUCACGGACGAACUGAGCCCUUGCAUUCGUCUCCCUGGAUCGCUUACAACAAUCACAGAGACAGGCUAUCGACUCCAUGCUACAGAUAGGGCCUGCAGUCAGACCCUUCUCACACGAGCUCCCAGUGUCAGAGCUUCAAGUGGAAGGGAUGGCAAGGCCAUUUUCAUCUGAGGCUGUACCUCUCUGAAGGACCUACGGAGGAGGAACCGCAUCAACUCUGGAGUGCAGACUCUUGGGGGUAAGUACCGGCUUCACUAUUUGCAGUGUGGGGACAUAAUUACCACGUGCCGCCAAAAGCUGCCCUUUCAGUCUCCUUUCCCUGGGGCAAGUGACUCAAACCUCUAAGAGCUCUGCUGUUCCUAACACGGGCUCAUCAACGUGCCACCUCACUGGGCGGCUGUGGGGAUUAAGUGAGACGGUUUCGUAACAAUGAAGCAGCAGGCAAGUACUGGAGGUGGCUGUUCCGUGUUAUCCCUUGAGUCUCACGCUGCCUCAUUUACAGAAGAGGGCUACCCCACCUGGCUUUGCAGAAGCCCUGAGCAUAACAGAGGAACCACAGUGUCUGAACGCAGGAUCUGCAGCCCAGUGCACGCAGCUUCCCAGAGCUGGUGUGCUUCUGGCGCCUCAGCCUGUCUCUGCUUCCUCGGUCACCACAAAACGGUUACACACUGGGGCAGUCAAGCCUGCGAAAAGACUCCCACUCGGAGUGUCAGGAGGCAACCGGGGCUCACAGCAAGUGCUCACAGCAACCUGCUCCAGGGCUGCUCCUCCACGACAGCUCCGGAAUCCAGGAGGCAGCCUGAGGAGGCACCCUAGCCAGGGGACCAGAAGACAGAUUGCAUCGGUCCUUCCCAGCCCUUCCACUUGGGUUGCUCAGAAGCGGUGUGGUUCUGAGGCUGACGUGCCCUUUCUAAUUAUGCUGGCCACUGACAAUGCGACAGUGACAUGUGACACUUUGACAAUGCAUGCAACCUCCCCGAGUCUGUUCCGUAUUUGAAACAUUUAACAGCAUUCACUUAUUAAAAGGAUUUCUGCACUGAUCUACCUUCAUCCUGUAAACACAAGAUUAUCAAGCAGGAAGCGUUCUUGCACCAAUUCAGCCACGGAUGGAUUCAGUGACACUGAGCAAGUCAUCAGUCUUCUAACCCCAUUUCUAGCCCUCUCCUAUUUUUCCUUAUGAGGAAGAAACAUAACAAGGUACAGAGAAGUGUUCCUUAAAGGAUGAGGUGCUGUUAUCAGUGUCUCAUUGUCCUCUUUGGAAGCUCCGUUCUGACAGUUAAGAGCUCUGGAGCCAGACUGGCAGAGUUAAUUCAAGUUAUGGAACCACUCUCACCUCACUUUUCUCAUCUGUAAAGUGGUGAUGAAACAGCCCCUAUUUCUGAAUUACUGAAUUAGAUGGGGAAAUGUAAAGAAAGCACUUAGUCCAGAAACAAUAAAAGGUGCCCAAGG